Molecule: ribosomal RNA, 314 nt
Filed under: uncultured eukaryote
Lineage: Eukaryota
Description: partial 18S ribosomal RNA
Rfam family: Eukaryotic small subunit ribosomal RNA
Source: RNAcentral
CCCUUAGACGUUCUGGGCCGCACGCGCGCUACACUGAACAGUUCAACAAGUCUUAACCUUGGCCGAUAGGUCUGGGUAAUCUUUGAACGCUGUUCGUGAUUGGGAUAGACCUUUGCAAUUAUGGGUCUUCAACGAGGAAUUCCUAGUAAACGCAAGUCAUCAGCUUGCAUUGAUUACGUCCCUGCCCUUUGUACACACCGCCCGUCGCACCUACCGAUUGAAUGGUCCGGUGAAGCCUCCGGAUUGGCGCGCACCUCGGUGCCGCCGAGAAGUUGGCUAAACCUUACCAUUUAGAGGAAGGUGAANUCGUANCA